Molecule: long non-coding RNA, 1521 nt
Organism: Xiphophorus hellerii (green swordtail)
Lineage: Eukaryota; Metazoa; Chordata; Actinopteri; Cyprinodontiformes; Poeciliidae
Exons: 2
Source: RefSeq, a predicted model, not a curated record
UACAACAUGAAUCAAUAAAUUAAAGUCCCUUGCUGCUUCCUAAAUUAAUCUACUGUACAAAGAGUGGGAGCAGGUGAUAUUACUUUGCAGGCAGAGUGAAAUGACUCAUAUUAAACUGCUGAUCAAAACAUUUGCAGUCUAGAAAGUGUUGUUGAAUCUAAGAAGAGUUGUUGUGCACUAAGCAAAGAUAUAAAAAACUGGCAAAAUGUGCCAGUCUUAUCCUUCGCAUGGCACAAGACAGGCAGCCAAUCAGAUGUGUGCAAGCUCUCUUGCAGGCGAAUGAUAUGGAAUGUUGGCUGUCUUGUGGCCCCGCCUUCCGUCCCCACUGAACUGCUGUUGCCCAUAAUGAUUUUAUAAACAUUUUGCCAGCAGAUCAAUACCUGUAUUGAUCAGGCAUUGUGAGAGUGAUCCGUCUAAAACCCAGAACAGCCUAGAGCUCAGAGGUGGGAGGAGCAAAAGAGAGAGGCUGCAUAGAGGAUGGCAAAGGAGAGCGAGUCUGCAACCACAGUGAAAAGGAAAAGAGGUGGAAGGUUGGAAGAGACUGAGGGAGAGGCGGACGCAGAGAUGGAAGCAGGUGAGGAUGCAGAUUUCGGAAAACGCUGCUAGGCCGUUGGGACUAAGGAAAACAAAUGAAAGAAACUCUUGAAGAAGAGACGGAGGCAUCUGAGAGCACACAAUCUAAUUGCUGCAAAAUGAUCAAAACUUACAUUUCCUGAAACAUCCUUAACAUUCAGGAGAGGAAUAAUUCCACAUCAUCAUUAUGGAAGAAGAACUGCAAAAGCAUGUAAAGGCGAUGUUAAUACCAAAAGACAAACAUGGCAGUAUGAAGACCAUCUUCAACAUACAGGAUUGCUGCCGCUUUGUAAACACGUGGAUGGCUGGCUUUUUGGAUUACUUUUUACUGUCUGGGAAUUCACUAAAUUGGAUGAUUGCUUUACAUUUAAAACACAAGUAGGAGAUUUACUGAAGCGAUGACUCACUGGAUGACUCAACACAAGUACAAGGCCACAAUCUGCCCUGCGCUGGAGGACAAGUCAAAAGCUUUUGCUGUGAUUCCCUCGUGCUGUGGGGAAAUCAAGUUUCAUUGAUUGGUUUUUAAAUAAGAUGUGUUGUGCAUAAAUGAGGAUCUGAAGGAAGAUGAAUUCCUCAAACGAACUGUAGGGAAAGACCUUGAUGCACAUGAACUCAUGUGCUCUGGAGACUAGUGUGGAAGCACUCAAUGAAAAGGCCUGAUGGCUCAUGCCUCUCUGACCAAGCUAAAAAAAAAAAAAAAAAAAAAAGGACGUUGGCUUAUCAAGGCUUAUUAAGGGCAAGAGACACUUGUAAACAAUUUUCCUAAUGAAUUAACAAAAAACACACAUUGCACAUCUCAGAGGAUAAAGGAUUUAUGGUGACUUUUAAAUUUUGAUAAAAUUUUAUCAGCUGACCUUUUGAUACAAAUGAUGCAUUAUUGUGAGCCAAAAGGAAAAGGAUAGAAAGACUACACAAAUAAAAAUCUGAGAACUACGGUGUGUAUUUGAA